GGCGGCGCCUGCUGCUUGUGCCGUGCAGCCGGUGUCACCUCAGGACAGCGCCUCGCGUCUGUGUACAGAGCGUGCUGCGGGCGCCUAGGGUAGUCCGAGGUCACCCCUCUCCGCGCCCCGCAGUCGCGCACGCCCCCACGCGCGGGGUGGGCGGUGGCCGGGGGUCGCCGAGUGGAAAGGCCACGCCCCCCCACGCCCGGGCUCGGCACGCUGCCCCUGGGUCGCGAACGCGCCUCCGCUCGACCCGCUUGGAGGACGUCGCUGGUGGCCCAGGAGUGAAGCCCCGGCGGCUGCCUCCUGAGAAAAGAUAGCCGUGUUUAAAGAGACUGAACGGGAUCUUUGCUUUGCCGGGCGUAUUUUGUGAUAAAAUACCACAAAAUGUUGAGACAAAAAUGAGUGGAAUAUGGAGACCGAGCCGCACAGACACGCAAUUGUAAGGAAACAUCUCGAACACCGAGUGCCAGGAAUAUCAACUGUCCGGGCCACGCAAGAGCCUGCUUUUUACCUGCCUCCAGCCCCCUGUCGUGCUGGUUUAAUCGCUGAAACAAAUGAAGUAGCAGGCCCUGGCAUAGCGCUUUGGGCCUUCGCCUUAUUAACAACUUUGUCAAGUCUCGCAUCGCGAUUCUGCCUUGUUAAUUUCCUUGUUUUUCGCUGUGGUUUUGGAGAAGCAAUGUUUUCCAUGAUCUCUCAGGCUAGCCUCGGAAUAAAACGUGGCAGAAGCGCUCCCGCGAACACAUACCCAUAUAUUUUAUUCUACCUAUUCCCUAGAGUCUGCUAACUUCAAAAGUCUAGAUACUCACACAGCUGUUUACUUGCAGCAGUAUUUGAAGAGAUAACCUUGGUGUCUAGAAAGGUCUCAGAAACUGGAGGUAAGAGACCUGGAUUCAAAUCGCGCCUUGGCCACUUCCCAAAAGGCAACCGAGAGCCUCUCUGAGCUUGUCAGUUUCCGCAUCUGCAAAUUAGUGGUGAUCAAACCUGUGGGGAUGAUUAUGUGAUAAAUAACAGUAACCUAGUUUAAAACUAGGCACGUUAUUGGAAGCUUUCAGUAAACGAAAUAAAAAGCCUUUUCGAGAGGGUA
Long non-coding RNA from Homo sapiens (human), 1078 nucleotides. Ensembl annotates it as JARID2 divergent transcript. Its record names the gene JARID2-DT. The record is from Ensembl. Lineage: Eukaryota; Metazoa; Chordata; Mammalia; Primates; Hominidae.